ACAUUUACCUGGCAUGGGAGAUACCAUGAUCACAAAAGAGGUUUGCCCAGGGCGAGGCUUAUCCGUUGCACUCAGGAUGUGCUGAACCCUGCGAUUUACCCCAAUGCAGGAAACUCAACUGCAUAAUUUGUGGCAGUGGAGGGAGUGUUUUUGAGCACAUGCCCUUA
Small nuclear RNA from Nannospalax galili (Upper Galilee mountains blind mole rat), 167 nucleotides. Its record names the gene U1. It matches the Rfam family "U1 spliceosomal RNA". Rfam says of the family: U1 is a small nuclear RNA (snRNA) component of the spliceosome (involved in pre-mRNA splicing). Its 5' end forms complementary base pairs with the 5' splice junction, thus defining the 5' donor site of an intron. There are significant differences in sequence and secondary structure between metazoan and yeast U1 snRNAs, the latter being much longer (568 nucleotides as compared to 164 nucleotides in human). The record is from Ensembl. Lineage: Eukaryota; Metazoa; Chordata; Mammalia; Rodentia; Spalacidae.